GGAGGGGUCGCAUAGUUGGUCUAGUGCACAGUCCUGGAAAGACUGCGUUCCAAAAGAACCGGAAGUUCGAAUCUUCUCCCCUCCG
RNAcentral lists this transfer RNA (85 nucleotides) under bacterium. Its description in RNAcentral is "tRNA-Ser". It matches the Rfam family "tRNA". Rfam says of the family: Transfer RNA (tRNA) molecules are approximately 80 nucleotides in length. Their secondary structure includes four short double-helical elements and three loops (D, anti-codon, and T loops). Further hydrogen bonds mediate the characteristic L-shaped molecular structure. tRNAs have two regions of fundamental functional importance: the anti-codon, which is responsible for specific mRNA codon recognition, and the 3' end, to which the tRNAs corresponding amino acid is attached (by aminoacyl-tRNA synthetases). tRNAs cope with the degeneracy of the genetic code in two manners: having more than one tRNA (with a specific anti-codon) for a particular amino acid; and 'wobble' base-pairing, i.e. permitting non-standard base-pairing at the 3rd anti-codon position. The record is from RNAcentral.